AUGAACGCUGGCGGCGUGCCUAACACAUGCAAGUCGAACGGAGUCCAGCCUUUAAGACCUUCGGGUCAAAGAGGGGAAGACUGAGUGGCGGACGGGUGAGUAACACGUGGGCAACCUGGCUCAUAGAGGGGGAUAACAGAGAGAAAUUUCUGCUAAUACCGCAUAAGCACACACUGCCGCAUGGCAGAGGGUGAAAAGAGAAUCGCUAUGAGAUGGACCCGCGUCUGAUUAGCCAGUUGGCAGGGUAAGAGCCUACCAAAGCGACGAUCAGUAGCCGAUCUGAGAGGAUGAACGGCCACAUUGGGACUGAGACACGGCCCAAACUCCUACGGGAGGCAGCAGUGGGGGAUAUUGCACAAUGGGGGGAACCCUGAUGCAGCGACGCCGCGUGAGUGAAGAAGUAUUUCGGUAUGUAAAGCUCUAUCAGCAGGGAUGAUAAUGACAGUACCUGAAGAAGAAGCCCCGGCUAACUACGUG
RNAcentral lists this ribosomal RNA (477 nucleotides) under uncultured bacterium. Its description in RNAcentral is "partial 16S ribosomal RNA". It matches the Rfam family "Bacterial small subunit ribosomal RNA", at positions 30 to 507 of the family's 1533-position model. The record is from RNAcentral.